UACGAAGGGGACUAGCGUUGUUCGGAAUCACUGGGCGUAAAGCGCACGUAGGCGGAUUCGUAAGUCAGGGGUGAAAUCCCGGGGCUCAACCUCGGAACUGCCUUUGAUACUGCGGGUCUUGAGUCCGAUAGAGGUGGGUGGAAUUCCUAGUGUAGGGGUGAAAUUCGUAGAUAUUAGGAAGAACACCGGUGGCGAAGGCGGCCCACUGGAUCGGUACUGACGCUGAGGUGCGAAAGCGUGGGGAGCAAACAGG
Molecule: ribosomal RNA, 253 nt
Filed under: uncultured bacterium
Lineage: Bacteria
Description: partial 16S ribosomal RNA
Rfam family: Bacterial small subunit ribosomal RNA
Source: RNAcentral